RNAcentral lists this ribosomal RNA (432 nucleotides) under uncultured Methylobacterium sp. RNAcentral's name for it is "bacterial SSU rRNA". It matches the Rfam family "Bacterial small subunit ribosomal RNA", at positions 958 to 1391 of the family's 1533-position model. The record is from RNAcentral. Lineage: Bacteria; Pseudomonadati; Pseudomonadota; Alphaproteobacteria; Hyphomicrobiales; Methylobacteriaceae.
UACGCGAAGAACCUUACCAUCCCUUGACAUGUCGUGCCAGCUGGAGAGAUCCAGGGUUCCCUUCGGGGACGCGAACACAGGUGCUGCAUGGCUGUCGUCAGCUCGUGUCGUGAGAUGUUGGGUUAAGUCCCGCAACGAGCGCAACCCACGUCCUUAGUUGCCAUCAUUCAGUUGGGCACUCUAGGGAGACUGCCGGUGAUAAGCCGCGAGGAAGGUGUGGAUGACGUCAAGUCCUCAUGGCCCUUACGGGAUGGGCUACACACGUGCUACAAGGGCGGUGACAGUGGGACGCGAAACCGCGAGGUUGAGCAAAUCCCCAAAAACCGUCUCAGUUCAGAUUGCACUCUGCAACUCGAGUGCAUGAAGGCGGAAUCGCUAGUAAUCGUGGAUCAGCAUGCCACGGUGAAUACGUUCCCGGGCCUUGUACACACC